GUAUAAAAAGCACUUAUACAACUCAACACCAGAAAACCAAAUAAUCCCAACAAGCAUCGAAGAAGGGAGCAAGUUAAGCUUUUGGUUGCAAGCAAUGGGAAGAGAAUGAAAGGGACAGCUGACUCAGGAGGGCAGGGAGCAAGUGGCUCCAGGAGCCUGAGGACAGGAACAUACUCUUAUUUGUGGACAUUAAUGAGACUCCAUGCCUGGGACCCCCAAGUUCUUGACUCCAAGUUUCAAGUACUCAGGUGACAGUCUCAUCAGCCCAGUGUGGGUCAAGUAUCCACCACUGGUCCAACCAGCUCUGAACGGUGGCAGGCUCCGUUAGUGCAGAUGUGAUUUGGGGAGCCUGCCUAUUUGUUCCAGGUCAUUCCCAGACAAGGGGGGAAGUCAUCAUGAAUCAGAUGGUCACCCCGCAUACACCCAUUGGAGGCAGCGCUGGCCUUUGAGGAGGAGCCCGCACAGAAGGAAGGUGCUAUUCCAGGUGCCAGAGACACUGUGCUGAGCAAAAGAGAUGCUCUCCAACAAAACUCGCUGCCAGUUUCCUCCCCUGGAACCUCUCCACUGCUGACUUUCUAUUGUGAUGUGCUCAAUUAAAUAUGUAUGUAUUUGGU
Long non-coding RNA from Mustela erminea (ermine), 614 nucleotides. RefSeq lists it as uncharacterized. The record is from RefSeq and is a predicted model, not a curated record. Lineage: Eukaryota; Metazoa; Chordata; Mammalia; Carnivora; Mustelidae. The transcript is spliced from 3 exons.